RNAcentral lists this ribosomal RNA (396 nucleotides) under uncultured bacterium. Its description in RNAcentral is "partial 16S ribosomal RNA". It matches the Rfam family "Bacterial small subunit ribosomal RNA", at positions 523 to 918 of the family's 1533-position model. The record is from RNAcentral.
AUACGUAGGGGGCAAGCGUUAUCCGGAAUUACUGGGUGUAAAGGGAGCGCAGACGGCUAUGUAAGUAUGAAGUGAAAGCCCGCGGAUCAACCGCGGGACCGCUUUGGCAACUCUGCAGCUUGAGCGUCGGAGAGGCAAGUGGAAUUCCAAGUGUCGCGGUGAAAUGCGUAGAUAUUUGGAAGAACACCGGUGGCGAAGGCGGCUUACUAGACGAUAACUGACGUUGAGGCUCGAAGGCGUGGGGAGCAAACAGGAUUAGAUACCCUGGUAGUCCACGCGGUAAACGAUGAAUACUAGGUGUCGGUGCCCAAAGGGUAUCGGUGCCGUCGCAAACGCAGUAAGUAUUCCACCUGGGGAGUACGUUCGCAAGAAUGAAACUCAAAUGAAUGGACGGGG